This 523-nucleotide ribosomal RNA is filed under the name uncultured bacterium. RNAcentral describes it as "bacterial SSU rRNA". It matches the Rfam family "Bacterial small subunit ribosomal RNA", at positions 988 to 1509 of the family's 1533-position model. The record is from RNAcentral.
CCAGAGAACUUAGCAGAGAUGCUUGGUGCCUUCGGGAACGUCUGAGACAGGUGCUGCAUGGCUGUCGUCAGCUCGUGUUGUGAAAUAGUUGGGGUUAAGUCCCGCAACGAGCGCAACCCUUAUCCUUUGUUGCCAGCGGCUCGGCCGGGAACUCAAAGGAGACUGCCGGUGAUAAACCGGAGGAAGGUGGGGAUGACGUCAAGUCAUCAUGGCCCUUACGGCCAGGGCUACACACGUGCUACAAUGGCGCAUACAAAGAGAAGCGACCUCGCGAGAGCAAGCGGACCUCAUAAAGUGCGUCGUAGUCCGGAUUGGAGUCUGCAACUCGACUCCAUGAAGUCGGAAUCGCUAGUAAUCGUAGAUCAGAAUGCUACGGUGAAUACGUUCCCGGGCCUUGUACACACCGCCCGUCACACCAUGGGAGUGGGUUGCAAAAGAAGUAGGUAGCUUAACCUUCGGGAGGGCGCUUACCACUUUGUGAUUCAUGACUGGGGUGAAGUCGUAACAAGGUAGGCGUAGCGAG